AUACGUAGGGGGCAAGCGUUGUCCGGAUUUAUUGGGGGUAAAGGGAACGCAGGCGGUCGUGUAAGUCAGAUGUGAAAUCCUUCGGCUUAACCCAUGAGCUGCAUUGGAAACUGGAAGACUUGAGUGAAGAAGAGGAGGGUGGAAUUCCCAGUGUAGAGGUGAAAGGCGUAGAUAUAAGGAAGAACACCAGUGGCAAAAGCGGCUCUCUGGUCUGUAACUGACGCUGAGGUUCGAAAGCGUGGGGAGCGAACAGGAUUAGAUACCCUGGUAGUCCACGCUGUAAACGAUGAAUGCUAGGUGUUGGAGGGUUUCCGCCCUUCGGUGCCGCAGCUAACGCACUAAGCAUUCCGCCUGGGGAGUACGACCGCAAGGUUGAAACUUAAAGGAAUUGACGGGG
This 397-nucleotide ribosomal RNA is filed under the name uncultured bacterium. Its description in RNAcentral is "partial 16S ribosomal RNA". It matches the Rfam family "Bacterial small subunit ribosomal RNA", at positions 523 to 918 of the family's 1533-position model. The record is from RNAcentral.